CCUUUGAUAGCUCAGCUGGUAGAGCGGAGGACUGUAGGCUCUCCUGCACAGCCAUCCUUAGGUUGCUGGUUCAACUCUGGCUCGAAGGA
Molecule: transfer RNA, 89 nt
Filed under: Manacus vitellinus (golden-collared manakin)
Lineage: Eukaryota; Metazoa; Chordata; Aves; Passeriformes; Pipridae
Rfam family: tRNA
About the family: Transfer RNA (tRNA) molecules are approximately 80 nucleotides in length. Their secondary structure includes four short double-helical elements and three loops (D, anti-codon, and T loops).
Source: Rfam by way of RNAcentral